CCUACGGGUGGCAGCAGUGGGGAAUAUUGCACAAUGGGCGCAAGCCUGAUGCAGCCAUGCCGCGUGUAUGAAGAAGGCCUUAGGGUUGUAAAGUACUUUCAGUUGGGAGGAAGGCGUUGAUGCUAAUAUCAUCAACGAUUGACGUUACCAACGGAAGAAGCACCGGCUAACUCCGUGCCAGCAGCCGCGGUAAUACGGAGGGUGCAAGCGUUAAUCGGAAUUACUGGGCGUAAAGCGCACGCAGGCGGUUGAUUAAGUUAGAUGUGAAAUCCCCGGGCUCAACCUGGGAACUGCAUCUGAUACUGGCAAGCUUGAGUCUCGUAGAGGGGGGUAGAAUUCCAGGUGUAGCGGUGAAAUGCGUAGAGACCUGGAGGAAUACCGGUGGCGAAGGCGGCCCCCUGGACAAAGACUGACGCUCAGGUGCGAAAGCGUGGGGAGCAAACAGGAUUAGAUACCCCCGUAGUC
RNAcentral lists this ribosomal RNA (465 nucleotides) under uncultured bacterium. Its description in RNAcentral is "bacterial SSU rRNA". It matches the Rfam family "Bacterial small subunit ribosomal RNA", at positions 338 to 795 of the family's 1533-position model. The record is from RNAcentral.